UACGAAGGGGGCUAGCGUUGCUCGGAAUCACUGGGCGUAAAGCGCACGUAGGCGGGUCGUUAAGUCGGGGGUGAAAUCCUGGAGCUCAACUCCAGAACUGCCUUCGAUACUGGAAAGCUCGAGUCCGGGAGAGGUGAGUGGAACUGCGAGUGUAGAGGUGAAAUUCGUAGAUAUUCGCAAGAACACCAGUGGCGAAGGCGGCUCACUGGCCCGGUACUGACGCUGAGGUGCGAAAGCCAGGGGAGCAAACGGG
RNAcentral lists this ribosomal RNA (253 nucleotides) under uncultured bacterium. Its description in RNAcentral is "partial 16S ribosomal RNA". It matches the Rfam family "Bacterial small subunit ribosomal RNA", at positions 524 to 776 of the family's 1533-position model. The record is from RNAcentral.